UCGUCAGGUGGGAUAAUCCUUACCUGUUUCUCCUUAUAGAGAACAGAUUAGAAAAAAAUCUUUGAUAUAGUUCACUUGCUCAUUAAUAUAAGGGGGAAAUGUGAC
Molecule: non-coding RNA, 105 nt
Organism: Otolemur garnettii (small-eared galago)
Lineage: Eukaryota; Metazoa; Chordata; Mammalia; Primates; Galagidae
Source: Rfam